UGGCAGGUCGACGCUCUCUUCGGAGGGAGUGGCGCACGGGUGAGUAACACGUGGGAACCUACCCUGAGGUGCGGAAUAACCGUUGGAAACGACGGCUAAUACCGCAUAUCCCCUGCGGGGGAAAGAUUUAUCGCCUUGGGAUGGGCCCGCGGUCGAUUAGCUAGUUGGUGUGGUAAUGGCGCACCAAGGCGACGAUCGAUAGCUGGUCUGAGAGGAUGACCAGCCACACUGGGACUGAGACACGGCCCAGACUCCUACGGGAGGCAGCAGUGGGGAAUAUUGGACAAUGGGCGCAAGCCUGAUCCAGCCAUGCCGCGUGAGUGAUGAAGGCCUUCGGGUUGUAAAGCUCUUUCAGGUGGGACGAUGAUGACGGUACCACCAGAAGAAGCCCCGGCUAACUUCGUGCCAGCAGCCGCGGUAAUACGAAGGGGGCUAGCGUUGUUCGGAUUUACUGGGCGUAAAGCGCGCGUAGGCGGUCCUGCCAGUCAGAGGUGAAAGCCCAGGGCUCAACCCUGGAA
Molecule: ribosomal RNA, 518 nt
Filed under: Roseospira sp. JA642
Lineage: Bacteria; Pseudomonadati; Pseudomonadota; Alphaproteobacteria; Rhodospirillales; Rhodospirillaceae
Description: bacterial SSU rRNA
Rfam family: Bacterial small subunit ribosomal RNA
Source: RNAcentral